This 434-nucleotide ribosomal RNA is filed under the name uncultured Coprococcus sp. RNAcentral describes it as "partial 16S ribosomal RNA". It matches the Rfam family "Bacterial small subunit ribosomal RNA", at positions 341 to 792 of the family's 1533-position model. Lineage: Bacteria; Bacillati; Bacillota; Clostridia; Lachnospirales; Lachnospiraceae. The record is from RNAcentral.
ACGGGAGGCAGCAGUGGGGGAUAUUGCUCAAUGGGGGAAACCCUGAUGCAGCGACGCCGCGUGAGUGAUGAAGUAUUUCGGUAUGUAAAGCUCUAUCAGCAGGAAAGAUAAUGACGGUACCUGACUAAGAAGCACCGGCUAAAUACGUGCCAGCAGCCGCGGUAAUACGGAGGAUGCGAGCGUUAUCCGGAUUUAUUGGGUUUAAAGGGUGCGUAGGCGGACUGUUAAGUCAGUGGUGAAAGGUCCCGGCUCAACCGGGGAGCUGCCAUUGAUACUGGCUGUCUGGAAUGCGGAUGCCGUGGGAGGAAUGUGUAGUGUAGCGGUGAAAUGCAUAGAUAUUACACAGAACACCGAUUGCGAAGGCAUCUCACGAAUCCGUUAUUGACGCUGAGGCACGAAAGCGUGGGGAUCAAACAGGAUUAGAUACCCUGGUA